UAUGUAUAUGUUGUUUAUUUUGGUCAGGAGUAUAUGUUUUAUGUAUAUAUUUUUUGGUCGGGUGGAUGGGAAGGAUAUGGAGUAUGUAAUGUAUGUUAAUUUCAUGAAGUUUGAUGUUGUAAUUGUAGUGAAUGUUAGUAAUCAAUGAAUUUUAUUGCAAACUUUGCAGCUACAUUCAGUUAAUUCUUUUGGUUUAGAGUUUAGAUUAUGCAAAUAAUUUGAGUUAUAGUAUCAAAAUGUAUGCUUCAGAAAAAUGUUCAAAAUGUGAAACUCCAUUGGUGCACUACAAUACUACAUGGUCACAUAACUAUAUAAAAGUAAAAAUAAAAAACCUUUUUAAAAAUAAUGUCCACCUGCAUGCUAUAUUUUCAGUUCAUUUUUUUUUUUAAAAAUAAUGUCCCUAGAGCUCCUACUACUAUACCAUGUGUUUGUAUGUGUGUUAAAGUCAAUGAAUCACGCGCAAUGCCCGACUCAUGCGGAAGCACGGGUACUUUACUAGUUAUAUAGAAGAGUUGAGGUUUAACAACACAUAAGUGUCUCAACUCAUAAAUCUAAUACUUUAAUAUUUUGGAUGAAGAUGUAAUUUUCAACUUCAAUUGUAUGGUUGCUCUUAGCUCAAUACAUCUAUUGUUGGAUUACUGACACGGAUAGUCUCCAAAUUGAGGGAGAUAUAUUGUAUAUGUGAAAUAGUUGAGGUUUAACAACAUAUAAGUAACAAAACUCAUAAACUCAAUGCUUUGAUAUUUUGGGAUGAAAUGGUGGUGUCUAACUUCACUUGUGGUAUUUUUUGCUCUGAUAUCACCUUCUCUUUGAAGGUGUAUAUAUACCUAACGAAUUAUACGUCAAACAUUUUUCAAAAACAAUAAUGAGUUCAAAUGGUUAAACUUCCUUAUGACGAAUUGUACGAGAGAAUCCAAGUAAGUUUGAUUCAUAAUGAAAACAAUUUUUUUAUUGAACUUUAUUUACUCCGCGGUUGAACUCUAAAUUACUAGAAUCUCUUUCUCAUAACCAAAGGGUUAAAAGUUAAAACCAAAUAAAUAAAUAAAUAAAUAAUGAACACUAUGUAGUAGGGAGCAUGCAUCUUUCUUUUCUUUGUUUUGAUUAAAAUCCACAAUUGCUUUGGUAUUUCAUUUCUUGGCAGCCAAGGCAUACGACUUUUGGACACAAAUAUUAUUUUAUGCAUAAAGCAUGUCAGUUUGUUUCUCUUACAAUUAAAUAUCAGACUAAAAAAUGUAGUUCUACUACUAUAUAAAGCGUCAGCUUGUCUUUGCUAUUUCAUCCUUCUUAAUUGUAUGUCUUUUUCUUAAAAAAAUAGAUUAAUGCUAUAAGUUAGUUUGUUAGAGUAAUGCUUGGUUUGUUCGUAGUACGUAAGAGUAAUGCUUUGCGGAAAUGUUUUAUUCUGAGUCCAUUUCUUUAAUAAUUAGUUCUUUAUUUUCAAGCACACCUUUUAUCUUUUAGGCAUCACCUAUCUCUUAUCUCUCGAAGUAUCACUUUGUUCCUAUUUUUUUGUCUUUUAAAUUUUUUUUCGGCAAAAAUUGAACUUUAAACUUCUUUCUUAAUAUAUAUUUCAAUUUAUCUAAAUUGUGUGUGGGUGUAUGUUGUGUUGGACAAUGAAGAUAAUACUUGGUUCGCUCGUCGUGCGUAAGAGCAAUGUUGCUUUGCCGAUAUAUUUAAUUCUGAGUCCA
Molecule: long non-coding RNA, 1685 nt
Filed under: Trifolium pratense (red clover)
Lineage: Eukaryota; Viridiplantae; Streptophyta; Magnoliopsida; Fabales; Fabaceae
Description: long non-coding RNA (TPRA_LNC000340)
Source: RNAcentral